Pectinophora gossypiella (pink bollworm) is the source of this 673-nucleotide long non-coding RNA. RefSeq lists it as uncharacterized. The transcript is spliced from 5 exons. The record is from RefSeq and is a predicted model, not a curated record. NCBI's taxonomy places the organism in Eukaryota, Metazoa, Arthropoda, Insecta, Lepidoptera, Gelechiidae.
CAGAAGGCAAAAAACUGCGUAGGAGAUCAUUAAUACAAAAGUAUUAUAUAAACCAAACCUGAUGUUGCCAGCUCCUUCAAUGAAUGCAGCAGUGUGACAGCCAGCAAUCAAAAGUAACAAGAUAUCGAGGAAAUGCAGAAGGCAAAAAACUGCAUAGGAGAUCAUUAAUACAAUAGUAUUAUAUAAACCAAGCCUGAUGUUGGCCGCUCAUUCAAAGAAUGCAGCAGUGUGACAGCCAGCAAUCAAAAGUAACAAGAUGUCGAGAAAAUGCAGAGUGUAAUAAACUGUGUAGGAGAUUAUGAUUGCAAUAGAAUAAAAUCGACCAAGCCUGAAGUCCUUCAAUGCACGCAGCAGUGUGACAGCCAGCAAUCAAAAGUUACAAGAUAUCGAGGAAAUGCAGAAGGCAAAGAACUGCGUAGGAGAUUAUUAAUACAAUAAUAUUAUAUCAACCAAGCCUGAUGUCGGUAGCUUCUUCAAUGAAUGCAGCAGUGUGACAGCCAGCAAUCAAUAGUGACAAGAAUCUAGGAAAUACAGAAGGCAAAGAAGCAGAUGUCAUCAAAGAAGAUCUUUGUUCCUGCAAUGUUUCCGCAGACGAUACAUCCAACAGAGCGAAGUGGAAGGAAAAGACUCGGAAAAAAGACCCCACCACCAUAUGGGAACAAUGCAAGGGAGA